UCCCAGACUCCUACGGGAGGCAGCAGUGGGGAAUAUUGCACAAUGGGGGAAACCCUGAUGCAGCGACGCCGCGUGAGUGAAGAAGUAUUUCGGUAUGUAAAGCUCUAUCAGCAGGGAAGAAAAUGACGGUACCUGACUAAGAAGCCCCGGCUAACUACGUGCCAGCAGCCGCGGUAAUACGUAGGGGGCAAGCGUUAUCCGGAUUUACUGGGUGUAAAGGGAGCGUAGGCGGCAGUGCAAGUCAGAAGUGAAAGCCCGGGGCUCAACUCCGGGACUGCUUUUGAAACUGUACAGCUUGAUUGCAGGAGAGGCAAGUGGAAUUCCUAGUGUAGCGGUGAAAUGCGUAGAUAUUAGGAGGAACACCAGUGGCGAAGGCGGCUUGCUGGACUGUAAAUGACGCUGAGGCUCGAAAGCGUGGAGAGCAAACAGGAUUAGAUACCCCCGUA
Molecule: ribosomal RNA, 446 nt
Filed under: uncultured bacterium
Lineage: Bacteria
Description: partial 16S ribosomal RNA
Rfam family: Bacterial small subunit ribosomal RNA
Source: RNAcentral